UCAGGCUCACCCACUUCCCAUCAACCAGUCUGAGUGGGGUGCUCAAUAGAUGCCUGAACAAGGCUUGAUAUUGAAAGUAACAGACCCGAAGGAGACACAUGUCCCUCUUGCUGCAUAAGUCAAAGAUAUGACUCCUUGGUUUUUUGUCUUCUACGUUGGAACUGAAAUUGGACCUGCAGCUGCGGAACAAGCUUCCUGAAGAUCAGUCCAGUGGGGGAAGCAGGCUCGAUGGAUCACUGACCACAUUACAGAGUUCUGCAUAUCGGGAUAGCAGCAGAACAAGGAUGCUACAGGAAGAUGAAGGAGGAACAUCUACAGCAGCCAUCAAGUUCAGAUGGCUUCCCAGUGGGCAACCUGAGCCCUGAGCUAAGUAUUUCAAACUGCUGGAUUCUUGACAGGAAGACACUGACAAAAGUCACCUGGGCCACCAAAUAAGAAUGAUGUCAUAAUGAUA
This is a long non-coding RNA of Suricata suricatta (meerkat), 454 nucleotides long. RefSeq lists it as uncharacterized. The transcript has 3 exons. NCBI's taxonomy places the organism in Eukaryota, Metazoa, Chordata, Mammalia, Carnivora, Herpestidae. The record is from RefSeq and is a predicted model, not a curated record.